This 1401-nucleotide small RNA is filed under the name Histoplasma capsulatum var. duboisii H88. RNAcentral's name for it is "Histoplasma capsulatum H88 hypothetical RNA". Lineage: Eukaryota; Fungi; Ascomycota; Eurotiomycetes; Onygenales; Ajellomycetaceae. The record is from RNAcentral.
GGAUUGCCGAGACCACCUUUCGCGCCAAGAAAAUUCCAGCAAUGGCGGGAAUUCGGCACCGACGAGGAACAAAAAAGAAAACAAGGCAAACAUUGCAAACAUUGCAUGUAGGAGCCGAGAUGCUCAAGCAUUAGCAUGCUCGUCAUCCGGCAAUAUAUGUACCUUGCGAGACGCCACGCACUACAGCAGCUUUCCUCCUACUCUCGGAUGGUUGUUGGAGUUGCCUGAGCAGUUCAAAGAACAAAAACUCAUUCAUUCGACGCGAAAAGGUUGGUCUGUCCACGGGAACUUGAAGAGCGGGAAGGACUGUCCAUAGGCGCGGCCCAUCUUCCGCGUUCAUUGAUGGUUUGGUAACGACAGAAAACUCUGAUACGCGACUUGGGAAUCGCCUGUCAAAACCGAACCUGGAGUCUGGAAGGGGAAAGAAACGUAUUCCCCCUCUCUACUCAAAAAUGGGGCAAGAAAGAAUCAAUCAUAAGAGGGAGAAAUUGCCAAAACCGUCCCCAAGAUAUUUGUUCGGUGUCGAUUUUCGGAGCUCUGCAUCAAAUCGCGCCAUCUUGGAAUCAGAUAAACCCUUGCCUUCCUAGCCUGGUUCUAAGCCAACCUGGUGAUGCUGAGAUAUUGCCGGCUGAGCCCUGGCCACCCCGAAAUACGCAGACCCACUCGGCCGGUACUGGGCCACAAGGCCAACGGGGAUGUUCGGCUUCAACUCAAGCUCAUCCCCCUUUUAUGAUUCUGUCCUGAGAGGACUCGCGCAGGCGUUGCAUUUUCGUUUGUGAGUGGCUGCCACCUACCUAGGUGGUGUGGCAUGGUUUUCAAUGCACCAAUCAGCCUCGGGGGAUCAGACAGGAAUAGGUGAGACAUUCAUUCCCCUUUCAUCCAAAGUUCAGCAUCCUACCUCCCUAUUCUUAGCAACGAUAUUAAGACGAGAAUGGACGAGCUGUUUCGGCUCCGACGGACAGCCGGUGUUGGCAAUGUCAGGGUAAAGAAAGGUCUAAGCGAAGUUGCGGUGCACUCUGGUUUCUCAAUCAACACUCAUAGAAAAUCAUCUUGAACAUGCCCAGAAUACGAUCUCUUUGAUACCUUCUCCUCAUCUUGUCUUUCUUGAGGUUGAAACUAGGUAUUUUUAAUUUUACCCACCCACCCUGGUAUGCCCUAUCUUCGCGCUUCGGCACCUGUCAUAGUCUGGUGGAGAACUGGAGUUUACAGCCAUACUUGAAGCGCGAACAUGGGUGCUAGGUUGGGGUUUUUAUCGCCGUGGAUUCUUAGUUGGGGAAGUUUUUCACAUCCCAUUUUGAUCAAGUACUCUGUGAUUCCAAUGGUUGUAUAAAAGUUCACUGGAUAUUCCGCUGAUGAAACAGAAUUCGGAACUGUCGUUAUAUCUAAAUUCUCCUCCCCACG